UCCGCGGUGGCGCGGAGCGUGGCGAGUUCCCCUACCUGGGGCGGCUCCGCGAGGAGCCCGGCGGGGGCACCUGCUGCGUCGUCUCGGGCAAGGCGCCCAGCCCAGGCGAUGUGCUUCUGGAGGUAAACGGGACGCCUGUCAGCGGGCUCACCAACCGGGACACCCUGGCUGUCAUCCGCCACUUCCGCGAGCCCAUCCGUCUCAAGACUGUGAAACCAGGCAAAGUCAUUAAUAAAGAUUUGCGGCAUUACCUAAGUCUUCAGUUUCAAAAAGGAUCAAUUGACCACAAACUGCAGCAAGUGAUCAGAGAUAAUCUCUACUUGAGAACCAUUCCAUGCACUACAAGGGCCCCCAGGGAUGGGGAAGUACCAGGAGUGGAUUAUAAUUUCAUUUCCGUUGAACAAUUCAAAGCACUGGAAGAGAGUGGAGCAUUGUUAGAAAGUGGGACAUAUGAUGGUAUGUCCCCAAAUAACAACACUACCACCCAAAAAACUAUCUGAACGACUGGAAUUAUUUCAGAGGGAAUUUGACCAGUAUAGUACCACUUUUUGAAAAACUUUUUUUCCUCUCUGUUUUUGAGAAAAUUUUAUUUUGAUGGGGAGAUUUGUAAUUUAUUAAUUAAAAUGGGAUUAAAUAAUAAGCAAAAAAAUCCAUCAUAUUUUAAAGUUGAUUGUGAACAAUAUAUUAAAAAUCAGCCAAACUGUCCAGUUUAUAUAUUUCAUACUAAUUCACAUUCAUCAUGUGAACUCAGUGAGUAUUUGUUGAUUGCAUUUUAUUUGUAGUUGGAAUUCAAAAUCUGUACUCUAAAAAACUUACAUGUACCUUGACUAUCCUGGAAAAAAGAGAAUAUAAAAUUUGGGGAGAAAACAACAAAAACAGAAUAAUUGGUUUUCUUU
This 896-nucleotide small RNA is filed under the name Pongo abelii (Sumatran orangutan). Its description in RNAcentral is "processed transcript". The record is from RNAcentral. Lineage: Eukaryota; Metazoa; Chordata; Mammalia; Primates; Hominidae.